This 418-nucleotide ribosomal RNA is filed under the name uncultured bacterium. RNAcentral's name for it is "bacterial SSU rRNA". It matches the Rfam family "Bacterial small subunit ribosomal RNA", at positions 355 to 787 of the family's 1533-position model. The record is from RNAcentral.
UGGGGAAUAUUGCACAAUGGGGGAAACCCUGAUGCAGCGACGCCGCGUGGAGGAAGAAGGCCCUCGGGUUGUAAACUCCUGUCUUUGGGGACGAUAAUGACGGUACCCAAGGAGGAAGCCACGGCUAACUACGUGCCAGCAGCCGCGGUAAAACGUAGGUGGCAAGCGUUGUCCGGAAUUACUGGGUGUAAAGGGAGCGCAGGCGGAGCGGCAAGUUGGAGGUGAAACUCAUGGGCUCAACCCGAUGAACUGCCUUCAAAAUCUGUCGGUCUUGAGUGGUGUAGAGGUAAGCGGAAUUCCCGGUGUAGCGGUGGAAUGCGUAGAUAUCGGGGAGGAACACCAGUGGCGAAGGCGGCUUACUGGGCACUAACUGACGCUGAGGCUCGAAAGCAUGGGUAGCAAACAGGAUUAGAUACCC